RNAcentral lists this ribosomal RNA (468 nucleotides) under uncultured bacterium. RNAcentral's name for it is "partial 16S ribosomal RNA". It matches the Rfam family "Bacterial small subunit ribosomal RNA", at positions 28 to 507 of the family's 1533-position model. The record is from RNAcentral.
GACGAACGCUGGCGGCGUGCUUAACACAUGCAAGUCGAACGGAAAGGCCCUGCUUUUGUUGGGUGCUCGAGUGGCGAACGGGUGUGUAACACGUGAGUAUCCUGCCCUUGACUUUGGGAUAACUUCAGGAAACUGGGGCUAAUACCGGAUAUGAGCUCCUGCUGCAUGUUGUGGGUUGGAAAGUUUCGGCUGUUGUGGAUCGACUCGCGGCUUAUCAGCUCGUUGGUUGGUUAGUGGCUUACCAAGUCUCUGACGGGUAGCCGGCCUGAGAGGGUGACCGGCCACAAGGGGACUGAGAUACGGACCAGAAUCCUACGGGAGGCAGCAGGGGGGAAUAUGGCACAAUGAGCGGAAGCCUGAUGCAGAAACGCCGCGAGCGGGAUGACGGCCUUCGGGGUGUAAACAGCUUUCGACGGUGACGAAGAGUGAGUGACGGUAAUGGGUAAAGAAGCACCGGCUAACUACGUG